Phasianus colchicus (ring-necked pheasant) is the source of this 253-nucleotide non-coding RNA. Lineage: Eukaryota; Metazoa; Chordata; Aves; Galliformes; Phasianidae. The record is from RefSeq and is a predicted model, not a curated record.
UCCCCCAAUGCUCCCAAUGUCCCCCAUGUCCCCAACGUCCCCCAAUACCCCCGAUGUCCCCACACUCAUCUCCCCCAUUGCAGUUUGCCAUCGGUUCCCUGAUGGACGAUUACCUCGGUCUCGUCAGCUGAGCGCCGUGGGACGAGCAGAGCAGUGGGAUGGGGGAUGGGAUGGGGGACAAGGCUGGCCGUGGGGCUCGGUUAUGGGGUGGCCCCCCCCUCCGUUCCCAAUAAAAACGCUUUUUUUUUUGUCA